This is a long non-coding RNA of Solea solea (common sole), 765 nucleotides long. RefSeq lists it as uncharacterized. Lineage: Eukaryota; Metazoa; Chordata; Actinopteri; Pleuronectiformes; Soleidae. The record is from RefSeq and is a predicted model, not a curated record. The transcript has 3 exons.
GCCGGGUCGCCUACGCCGCAAAAAACCAUGGCUGCAGACGUGGACGCGCAUCGAGUCUGGGGAAAAGAAACAUAGAGCAUCACAAAGAAGUUAGACAAGCUCUGGGGGAAAAGGCCAGGAAUCUGCUAACAACAUGGUGCGCUGCGUUAAUUAUCGCCCCCUCUUGAUGUGCCGCGCCAAUAUCUGUCCCCUAAGGAGAAGAGAACCUUCAGAGAACCUGAAGAAAACCCACGCACACCCGGGGAGAACAUGCAAACUCCAUGCAGAAUGGCCCUUGUUCAGACUGAGUCUCAAACCCGGGUCUCCUUACUGCAAAGGCAAGAGUGCUAACCACUACACCAACCAUGUGGCCCUUCUCUGUACCAUCUAUUCCCAAAUGUAAUAAGGUUUUGUGACUGAAAUGAGUGAAAAGUGCCAUGAAAUCAGAACGAGACCAAAGCAUCAAUGAAUUAACACUGAGGUAACACUCACCACGACCACAGAAGAUGCUCUUUGUGAUUGGCACGUGAAAAUGAGUGUUUGUGAGUCAGGCUACAGCAAUGGAAAAGUAAUUAAAUGCAUCCUUCCUCACUUUAGCACACUCAGGGUGGUGAUGCGUGUCGAGCCUCAUGAAGGCUGACUGCAGACAUGCAAUGAAGUCGUACAUCUCUUAUAAGCUGUUUCCAGACAUUCAAGUUCUAAAGUUCAUACAUUUUCUAGAAAUCAUCCAGAGAGCAAAAUAUUGCUCUGGAGUUUUUCCCUGGAACUUUUCCAGCCAUGCAGCCU